GGCGAAUCGCCCAGCGGUAGGGCACGAGUGACGAUCUCGAGACGCGGGUUCGAAUCCCGCUUCGCUCU
RNAcentral lists this transfer RNA (68 nucleotides) under Planctomycetota bacterium. RNAcentral's name for it is "Planctomycetes bacterium (bioreactor metagenome) tRNA-OTHER". It matches the Rfam family "tRNA". From Rfam's summary of the family: Transfer RNA (tRNA) molecules are approximately 80 nucleotides in length. Their secondary structure includes four short double-helical elements and three loops (D, anti-codon, and T loops). The record is from RNAcentral. Lineage: Bacteria; Pseudomonadati; Planctomycetota.